CUACGGGUGGCUCCAGUAAGGAAUAUUGCGCAAUGGAGGAAACUCUGACGCAGCCAUGCCGCGUGCAGGAAGAAGGCCUUAUGGGUCGUAAACUGCUUUUAUUUAGGAAUAAACCCCCGAACGUGUUCGGGGCUGAAGGUACUAAACGAAUAAGCACCGGCUAACUCCGUGCCAGCAGCCGCGGUAAUACGGAGGGUGCUAGCGUUAUCCGGAUUUAUUGGGUUUAAAGGGUGCGCAGGCGGGCUAUUAAGUCAGUGGUGAAAUCCCGGGGCUCAACUCCGGAACUGCCAUUGAUACUGAUAGUCUUGAGUUUGGUUGAAGUGGGCGGAAUGUAGCAUGUAGCGGUGAAAUGCAUAGAUAUGCUACAGAACACCAAUCGCGAAGGCAGCUCACUAAGCCAAAACUGACGCUCAUGCACGAAAGCGUGGGGAUCAAACAGGAUUAGAUACCCGUGUAGUC
This 459-nucleotide ribosomal RNA is filed under the name uncultured bacterium. RNAcentral describes it as "partial 16S ribosomal RNA". It matches the Rfam family "Bacterial small subunit ribosomal RNA", at positions 339 to 795 of the family's 1533-position model. The record is from RNAcentral.